Molecule: transfer RNA, 65 nt
Filed under: Dipodomys ordii (Ord's kangaroo rat)
Lineage: Eukaryota; Metazoa; Chordata; Mammalia; Rodentia; Heteromyidae
Rfam family: tRNA
About the family: Transfer RNA (tRNA) molecules are approximately 80 nucleotides in length.
Source: Rfam by way of RNAcentral
GGUGGCUCAGCGGUAGAGUGCUUGCCUUGCAUGCAUGAGGCCUUGGGUUUGAUUCCUCAGCACCA